This 74-nucleotide transfer RNA is filed under the name Cordylochernes scorpioides. RNAcentral's name for it is "tRNA-Thr". It matches the Rfam family "tRNA". Rfam says of the family: Transfer RNA (tRNA) molecules are approximately 80 nucleotides in length. Their secondary structure includes four short double-helical elements and three loops (D, anti-codon, and T loops). The record is from RNAcentral. Lineage: Eukaryota; Metazoa; Arthropoda; Arachnida; Pseudoscorpiones; Chernetidae.
GCCUGGGUAGCCUAGUGGACAUGGCAUCUGCCCGGUAAGCGGAACACUGUUGGUUCGAUUGCCAUCCCUGGACA